UACGUAGGGUGCGAGCGUUAAUCGGAAUUACUGGGCGUAAAGCGUGCGCAGGCGGUUUUGUAAGCCAGAUGUGAAAUCCCCGGGCUUAACCUGGGAAUGGCAUUUGGGACUGCAAGGCUGGAGUGCGGCAGAGGAGACUGGAAUUCCCGGUGUAGCAGUGAAAUGCGUAGAGAUCGGAAAGAACACCAACGGCGAAAGCACUCUGCUGGGCCGACACUGACACUGAGAGACGAAAGCUAGGGGAGCGAAUGGG
This 253-nucleotide ribosomal RNA is filed under the name uncultured bacterium. Its description in RNAcentral is "partial 16S ribosomal RNA". It matches the Rfam family "Bacterial small subunit ribosomal RNA", at positions 524 to 776 of the family's 1533-position model. The record is from RNAcentral.